UUCCUUUGCUUCUCCUUCCUUGGCAAUUCAUAAAGGGUUCAGUGGGUGCAGACUCCCAAAUGUCAACCUGAAUUCAUUUCUAUUUUAGAGUGUAUUAUAUAUCUUAACAUACUUUCAUAUGUAUUUAUAUGAAAACCACCAACCACCUUGAAGGUUGUCCCUAUAUUAUGGCUAAGAAAAUAGAGAGACUCCUUAAGUGGCCUGUCCAAGUUCCUACCCAAGACCACAGGUAACCCCUUGGUCCCAAGCCCUAAGACCUCCCUGGCAAAGAAAUGUCUAGGAUGAAGCCUUAGUCACCAUAAAAAGGUAUGUUCUGUUAGUCUGUGUGCCGCGAGAACCCAAAGUCGCCCUGACUGUUUCUGUUUCCCAAUCUCAGGUGCCAUCCAAGUGCCUUGUCUCUUCUUCUGGAGCUUCAAUGGGCUUCUAUUGGUGGUUGACAUAACAGGAAAACCUAACUUCAUCUCUCGCUACCGAAUUCAGGUCGGCAAGAAUGAACCUGUGGAUCCUGUGAAACUGCGCCAGUCUAUCCGCACAGUUCUUUUCAACCAGUGCAUGAUAUCUUUCCCCAUGGUGGUCUUCCUCUAUCC
RNAcentral lists this small RNA (587 nucleotides) under Pongo abelii (Sumatran orangutan). Its description in RNAcentral is "retained intron". The record is from RNAcentral. Lineage: Eukaryota; Metazoa; Chordata; Mammalia; Primates; Hominidae.